Molecule: long non-coding RNA, 1144 nt
Filed under: Homo sapiens (human)
Lineage: Eukaryota; Metazoa; Chordata; Mammalia; Primates; Hominidae
Description: HSALNT0401189
Source: RNAcentral
GUCCAACCUGGGUUGGGUUUUAUGGCUCCAAACUAUGGGUGUGUCACCAUGCAGGAAGUAGUGGGAAAACCGAGGGAGGGGCAGAGGAAAAAAGGAGGGUGGAGAACUGUGUUUAGUGAGUGCCUACUGGAUGCUGGGAGUUGCAUACAGGCGUUACCAUAUUUAAAUUAAACCUUGAGAUGAAGGGACUGAAGGACAGAGAGAAAUUGCAUGCCUGGAGUCUCACUGCUAGUACAUAGAGGUGUUAUCUUCCUUUCAUCUAACAUAUUUAUUGAGCACCUACUAUGUACCAGGCCUUGUGCUAGACUCUGGGGAUAUGGAAAUGAGCAAAGUAGAUGUACCCCCGAAACUUGUGGACUAAUGGAGGAGACGGACCUUAAUCAGAUCGUCAUUCAAAGAUACUAUUACAAACUGUUCUGAGAGCCGAGGAAGCAGGAAGGAGCUGUGAGAGACUGAGCUCUAACCUUGGCCAUCAAAGACAAGCUGUGCAGCUCUGGUUUUUUGAGGGCAGGACAUGGAGGGUCAGGCCCAGCUGGAGGCGCACCAAAGCCCAGAGAAAAUUCAGAACCACGUGAACUUGUUGGAUUUCAGCCCCUUGAAGCACAUGUUGCUAUUGCAGCUGCCUUGAUAACUGGGGGGACAGGAGGAGCACGGCUUUCCCAUCUUGUACGGGGACUCGCCAAUCCAGUUGCCCCUGGAAGAGAAAAGGACCCAGGGAGACAGAGGAGCAUUAGGACUCAUUCAAUCAUUUAGUCAUUCAACAAACACUUCUGGAGCACCUAUUGAACAUCAGGAUUUGUGCCGGCUGCUGUCAGUCCACAGUUCUCAAAAGGUGCUCUCAGAAGUUUGGGGGCGGGGAGAGUGGGUGGUGGUGAUACCUGGGAUGACAUGGAGUUCUUUUUUUGUUUAAUUUAACCACUUAGAAAAAAGUUCUGCUUAAAAAAACAAAGGAUUGCAAUCACUAUAGUAGAAGGAUAUAGAAAUGAAAACGGUCGAUUUCCCAUGCCCAAGAGUUUAUAACUUGGUUCUAGUCAUGGCCACCAUUUAUUUAGCAUGUACUAUGGGCAAGGCACCACAGAGGCUAUUUUUAUUUUAUUUUAUUUUAUUUUAUUUUAUUUUAUUUUAUUUAUUUUAUUUUAUUUUA